RNAcentral lists this long non-coding RNA (580 nucleotides) under Ananas comosus (pineapple). RNAcentral's name for it is "long non-coding RNA (ACOM_LNC028758)". The record is from RNAcentral. Lineage: Eukaryota; Viridiplantae; Streptophyta; Magnoliopsida; Poales; Bromeliaceae.
CAAAAAAUUCAGAUUAAAUCUGUCAAGUUUUAAAAAAGAUAUAUUUUUACAAAAUUUUAAAAUAAUUUUUUUUUGGAUGAAUUAUAGAAAAUCUUUAUGUUAAUACCCGUCUUUUUAACUUUUUUUUCUGUCAUUCAAAAACCUACACUUUAUUCUCUUAAAAAAUAAAAAAUAUUCACUUGUAACCCCGUCGUGAGUGUUCCGUUAGGAUUUUGUUUGUAUCAUAUUUUUUAUAUUUAAAAUACUCCUGAAGCUCUCAUCUUUUCUCAUUUUCGGUCGCACUGCCUCGCCCUCCCCGACCUCUCUGUUCAUGCCCACACACGCGUUCUCGUCCGCCUUCGCCGCCUCACCCUUGCCUGCCUUCGCCCAUCUCUUCAUCCACGCCCAUCCUGAAGAAGAUAAGGGGUAAUUUGGUUAUUUUGUCAUAAUAUACUUUUGUGAAUAUUUUUUAUUUUUUAAAUAAAUAAAUUAUAGAUUUUUAAAUGACAGAAGAAAAAAUAAAAAAGCGGAUGUUGACAUUAAUUUUUUUUUUUAUAAUUCAGCCUAAUUUUUUAUACAAAUUAAGCCUAAAAAAUAAUUC